Molecule: long non-coding RNA, 584 nt
Filed under: Ricinus communis (castor bean)
Lineage: Eukaryota; Viridiplantae; Streptophyta; Magnoliopsida; Malpighiales; Euphorbiaceae
Description: long non-coding RNA (RCOM_LNC003403)
Source: RNAcentral
UCGAAUAGCACAUUGGCACUUGAUGUUUUCUUUUAUUUAUUUCCAAUUGGAACUUCAACUUUUAAAGUUGGCACAAAUCACCUAUUAUCGUAUAGUCUAAGCUUUCAUUACAGCUCUUAUGAACAAUACAAAAAUAUCUCUCACUAACAUUUAUAUAAAAAAAUCAAAUCAAUUUAAUUGGCUCAUCGUUGCUGAGUGCCUGUCGUCAUUGAAACAACAAAAACAACAACAUCGUCAUCCUCGUGUUAUCAGUUCAUCAGCAACACUGCAACAGUAGGAACCGAAAUUGAGUCGCGUGUUGGGGCCUCCUUCUCCAGCGAGUUAUGACGUCUUAUUCUCCUUCUCCUUCUCCUCGUCGCCUCAGCGUCUGGUCUCUAUUAUAGCUGUUAACGAAAUCCGUCAACUCCAGCAAUGAUUGAUUAAGAGUGGGUUUUGAUUUUUCGGAAUAAGCUUCAGAUUAGUGGUAAUAACAGCAUCUCAAACUUCUGUUAGUUUUAGAUGACAUGGAUGUGUGAGACUAUUCUUACAGUGGACAAAUAAUAAAGACAUCAUAUAUUGCACAAGGGACAUACUUUCUUGCUAAU